RNAcentral lists this ribosomal RNA (588 nucleotides) under Heyndrickxia oleronia. RNAcentral's name for it is "bacterial SSU rRNA". It matches the Rfam family "Bacterial small subunit ribosomal RNA", at positions 173 to 747 of the family's 1533-position model. The record is from RNAcentral. Lineage: Bacteria; Bacillati; Bacillota; Bacilli; Caryophanales; Bacillaceae.
CUUUUUUCUUCGCAUGAGGGAGAAUUGAAAGAUGGCUUCGGCUAUCACUUACAGAUGGACCCGCGGCGCAUUAGCUAGUUGGUGAGGUAACGGCUCACCAAGGCGACGAUGCGUAGCCGACUUGAGAGGGUGAUCGGCCACACUGGGACUGAGACACGGCCCAGACUCCUACGGGAGGCAGCAGUAGGGAAUCUUCCGCAAUGGACGAAAGUCUGACGGAGCAACGCCGCGUGAGUGAUGAAGGUUUUCGGAUCGUAAAACUCUGUUGUUAGGGAAGAACAAGUAUCGUUCGAAUAGGGCGGUACCUUGACGGUACCUAACCAGAAAGCCACGGCUAACUACGUGCCAGCAGCCGCGGUAAUACGUAGGUGGCAAGCGUUGUCCGGAAUUAUUGGGCGUAAAGCGCGCGCAGGCGGUUUCUUAAGUCUGAUGUGAAAAUCUUGCGGCUCAACCGGCCAAGCGGCCAUUGGAAACUGGGAGACUUGAGUGCAGAAGAGGAGAGUGGAAUUCCACGUGUAGCGGUGAAAUGCGUAGAGAUGUGGAGGAACACCAGUGGCGAAGGCGACUCUCUGGUCUGUAACUGACGCU